Molecule: non-coding RNA, 30 nt
Filed under: Mus musculus (house mouse)
Lineage: Eukaryota; Metazoa; Chordata; Mammalia; Rodentia; Muridae
Source: RNAcentral
ACCAUGUGAUUACAGAGACAACCCGAGAAU